RNAcentral lists this ribosomal RNA (495 nucleotides) under uncultured bacterium. RNAcentral's name for it is "partial 16S ribosomal RNA". It matches the Rfam family "Bacterial small subunit ribosomal RNA", at positions 28 to 507 of the family's 1533-position model. The record is from RNAcentral.
GACGAACGCUGGCGGCGUGCCUAAUACAUGCAAGUCGAACGCUGAAGGAGGAGCUUGCUCUUCUGGAUGAGUUGCGAACGGGUGAGUAACGCGUAGGUAACCUGCCUGGUAGCGGGGGAUAACUAUUGGAAACGAUAGCUGAUACCGCAUAACAGUAGAUGUUGCAUGACAUUUGCUUAAAAGGUGCAAUUGCACCACUACCAGAUGGACCUGCGUUGUAUUAGCUAGUUGGUGGGGUAACGGCUCACCAAGGCGACGAUACAUAGCCGACCUGAGAGGGGGAUCGGCCACACUGGGACUGAGACACGGCCCAGACUCCUACGGGAGGCAGCAGUAGGGAAUCUUCGGCAAUGGACGGAAGUCUGACCGAGCAACGCCGCGUGAGUGAAGAAGGUUUUCGGAUCGUAAAGCUCUGUUGUAAGAGAAGAACGAGUGUGAGAGUGGAAAGUUCACACUGUGACGGUAUCUUACCAGAAAGGGACGGCUAACUACGUG